GACGAACGCUGGCGGCGUGCUUAACACAUGCCAGUCGAACGGAAAGGCCCUGCUUUUGUGGGGUGCUCGAGUGGCGAACGGGUGAGUAACACGUGAGUAACCUGCCCUUGACUUUGGGAUAACUUCAGGAAACUGGGGCUAAUACCGGAUAGGAGCUCCUGCUGCAUGGUGGGGGUUGGAAAGUUUCGGCGGUUGGGGAUGGACUCGCGGCUUAUCAGCUUGUUGGUGGGGUAGUGGCUUACCAAGGCUUUGACGGGUAGCCGGCCUGAGAGGGUGACCGGCCACAUUGGGACGGAGAUACGGCCCAGACUCCUACGGGAGGCAGCAGUGGGGAAUAUUGCACAAUGGGCGGAAGCCGGAUGCAGCAACGCCGCGUGCGGGAUGACGGCCUUCGGGUUGUAAACCGCUUUCGCCUGUGACGAAGCGUGAGUGACGGUAAUGGGUAAAGAAGCACCGGCUAACUACGUG
This 468-nucleotide ribosomal RNA is filed under the name uncultured bacterium. Its description in RNAcentral is "partial 16S ribosomal RNA". It matches the Rfam family "Bacterial small subunit ribosomal RNA", at positions 28 to 507 of the family's 1533-position model. The record is from RNAcentral.